GCCAGGCAUGGUGGCUCAUGCCUGUAAUCCCAGCACUUUGGGAGGCUGAGGUGGGUGGAUCACUUGAGGCCAGGAGUUCGAGACCAGCCUGGCCAACAUGGUGAAACCCCAUCUCUA
RNAcentral lists this non-coding RNA (117 nucleotides) under Gorilla gorilla gorilla (western lowland gorilla). Lineage: Eukaryota; Metazoa; Chordata; Mammalia; Primates; Hominidae. The record is from Rfam by way of RNAcentral.